This 253-nucleotide ribosomal RNA is filed under the name uncultured bacterium. RNAcentral's name for it is "partial 16S ribosomal RNA". It matches the Rfam family "Bacterial small subunit ribosomal RNA", at positions 524 to 776 of the family's 1533-position model. The record is from RNAcentral.
UACAGAGGUCUCGAGCGUUGUUCGGAUUCAUUGGGCGUAAAGGGUGCGUAGGUGGUCAGGUAAGUCGGAUGUGAAAUCCCGGGGCUCAACCUCGGAACUGCAUUCGAUACUGCCUGACUGGAGUACUGGAGAGGAGAUUGGAAUUUACGGUGUAGCAGUGAAAUGCGUAGAUAUCAGGAGGAACACCGGUGGCGAAGGCGGGUCUCUGGGCAGUAACUGACGCUGAGGAGCGAAAGCGUGGGGAGCAAACAGG